This 488-nucleotide ribosomal RNA is filed under the name uncultured bacterium. RNAcentral's name for it is "partial 16S ribosomal RNA". It matches the Rfam family "Bacterial small subunit ribosomal RNA", at positions 28 to 507 of the family's 1533-position model. The record is from RNAcentral.
GACGAACGCUGGCGGCGUGCUUAACACAUGCAAGUCGAACGCGCCUGUCCCCUGGGUUUCUGGGGGGUGGGUGAGUGGCGAACGGGUGAGUAACACGUGAGUAACCUGCCCCCUUCUUCGGGAUAACGGUCUGAAAGGGCUGCUAAUACCGGGUAUUCACUGGUCUCCGCAUGGGGUCUGGUGGAAAGGUUUUUUUCUGGUGGGGGAUGGGCUCGCGGCCUAUCAGCUUGUUGGUGGGGUGAUGGCCCACCAAGGCUUUGACGGGUAGCCGGCCUGAGAGGGUGACCGGUCACAUUGGGACUGAGAUACGGCCCAGACUCCUACGGGAGGCAGCAGUGGGGAAUAAUGCACAAUGGGCGCAAGCCUGAUGCAGCGACGCCGCGUGAGGGAUGGAGGCCUUCGGGUUGUGAACCUCUUUCGCCCGUGGUCAAGCCGCGACGUGGGUCGUGGUGAGGGUAGUGGGUAAAGAAGCGCCGGCUAACUACGUG